AACGAACGCUGGCGGCACGUUUUAAGCAUGCAAGUCGAAUGGCGGUGGGGGCAACCCCAUGAGAAUGGCGAACGGGUGAGUAACACGUAGGUGAUCUGCCUGACGGAUGGGGAUAGCUUGUGGAAACACAGGGUAAUACCGAAUGAGCUGACGAGACUUUGGUUUUGUUAGUAAAGGUGCUACGGCACCGCCGACAGAGGAGCCUGCGGCUGAUUAGCUAGUUGGUGGGGUAAAGGCCUACCAAGGCGACGAUCAGUAGCCGGCCUGAGAGGGUGUACGGCCACACUGGAACUGAGACACGGUCCAGACUCCUACGGGAGGCAGCAGCUAAGAAUCUUCCGCAAUGGGCGAAAGCCUGACGGAGCGAUGCCGCGUGAUCGAUGAAGGUCGAGAGAUUGUAAAGAUCUUUUCUACAUGAGGAAUAAGUCUGGGAGGGAAUGCCUGGAUGAUGACGUUAGUGUAGGAAUAAGCCCCGGCUAAUUACGUGCCAGCAGCCGCGGUAA
RNAcentral lists this ribosomal RNA (503 nucleotides) under uncultured bacterium. RNAcentral's name for it is "partial 16S ribosomal RNA". It matches the Rfam family "Bacterial small subunit ribosomal RNA", at positions 29 to 523 of the family's 1533-position model. The record is from RNAcentral.